UAGUACACGUUCGGCAGGACGGGUGUGCAGGCUGCACUGCCCUUGAGUCGUCCAGGCCCUCCGAACCACCACAGCCAGUCGACUCUGAGGCCCCCUCUCCCACCCCCUCACAACCACACGCUGUCCCAUCACCACUCGUCCGCCAACUCCCUCAACAGGAACUCACUGACCAAUCGGCGGAGUCAGAUCCACGCCCCGGCCCCAGCGCCCAAUGACCUGGCCACCACACCAGAGUCUGUUCAGCUUCAGGACAGCUGGGUGCUAAACAGCAACGUGCCACUGGAGACCCGGCACUUCCUCUUCAAGACCUCCUCGGGGAGCACACCCUUGUUUAGCAGCUCUUCCCCGGGAUACCCUUUGACCUCAGGAACGGUUUACACGCCCCCGCCCCGCCUGCUGCCCAGGAAUACUUUCUCCAGGAAGGCUUUCAAGCUGAAGAAGCCCUCCAAAUACUGCAGCUGGAAAUGUGCCGCCCUCUCCGCCAUUGCCGCGGCCCUCCUCUUGGCUAUUUUGCUGGCGUAUUUCAUAGCAAUGCAUCUGCUCGGACUCAAUUGGCAACUCCAGC
RNAcentral lists this small RNA (565 nucleotides) under Pan troglodytes (chimpanzee). RNAcentral describes it as "processed transcript". The record is from RNAcentral. Lineage: Eukaryota; Metazoa; Chordata; Mammalia; Primates; Hominidae.